Molecule: ribosomal RNA, 578 nt
Filed under: Meyerozyma guilliermondii
Lineage: Eukaryota; Fungi; Ascomycota; Pichiomycetes; Serinales; Debaryomycetaceae
Description: eukaryotic LSU rRNA
Rfam family: 5.8S ribosomal RNA (bases 169-322)
Source: RNAcentral
GGGCUCGCUCUUUUGCAGCGCUUACUGCGCGGCGAAAACCUUACACACAGUGUCUUUUUGAUACAGAACUCUUGCUUUGGUUUGGCCUAGAGAUAGGUUGGGCCAGAGGUUUAACAAAACACAAUUUAAUUAUUUUUACAGUUAGUCAAAUUUUGAAUUAAUCUUCAAAACUUUCAACAACGGAUCUCUUGGUUCUCGCAUCGAUGAAGAACGCAGCGAAAUGCGAUAAGUAAUAUGAAUUGCAGAUUUUCGUGAAUCAUCGAAUCUUUGAACGCACAUUGCGCCCUCUGGUAUUCCAGAGGGCAUGCCUGUUUGAGCGUCAUUUCUCUCUCAAACCCCCGGGUUUGGUAUUGAGUGAUACUCUUAGUCGGACUAGGCGUUUGCUUGAAAAGUAUUGGCAUGGGUAGUACUGGAUAGUGCUGUCGACCUCUCAAUGUAUUAGGUUUAUCCAACUCGUUGAAUGGUGUGGCGGGAUAUUUCUGGUAUUGUUGGCCCGGCCUUACAACAACCAAACAAGUUUGACCUCAAAUCAGGUAGGAAUACCCGCUGAACUUAAGCAUAUCAAAAGCGGGAGGAAA